Molecule: long non-coding RNA, 6719 nt
Filed under: Lynx pardinus (Iberian lynx)
Lineage: Eukaryota; Metazoa; Chordata; Mammalia; Carnivora; Felidae
Source: RNAcentral
CGGUGGGCGGCCAGGUGGCUGCCCUGGGAGAAGCGGCGCCCGCACUCCUCGCAGGCGAAGGGCCGCUCGCCCGAGUGCACCCGGGAGUGCGCCACCAGGUGCGUCUUCUUGCCGAAGUUCUUCCCGCACUCGGCGCAGGUGAAGGGCCGCUCCCCGGUGUGCUGCCGCUGGUGGGCCCGCAGGAAGCGCUCCAGCCGGAAGCUGCGGCCACAGUCUUCGCAGCCGAAGAGCGAGGGGGGCGCGGCCGCNCGCGGCCGCCGGGGCCCGCGGGGGCGCUCCCGGGGCCUCGGGCGCAGGCUCGAGGGCGGGUUUCAGCGGGGCCUCGGCGGGGGGCUCCGACGAGGCCUCCUGCGGGCCGGCCGGAAGCUGGGGGCUCCCCGCGCCCGGGCCGCCCGGCGCGGACCCUUCGGACCGCUUGUGGAUCUUGCUGUGAGACAGCAGGUUGGGUUUGUGGCGGAAGCGGCGCCCGCACUCCGUGCACGGGUAGGGCUUCUCGCCAGUGUGGAUGCGCCGGUGUGAGGUCAGGUAGGGCUUAUUGGUGAAGCGCUUCCCGCAUUCGGGGCACUGGUGGGGCCGCUCGCCCGUGUGCACGCGGCGGUGGGCGAUCAAGUUGGGCUUGUGCCGAAAGCGCUUGCCGCAGCAGGCACACUGGAAGGGGCGGUCGACCGCGUCUCCACCGGGCCGGGGGGCGGUCACGGCCGGGCGGCCCCUAGGCCGGGGCCCCAGAGCCUUGGCUGCUGCCUCCUCCAGGGCCUCGGCUACGUGAACCCGCUUGUGAGCAACUAGCUGGUCCCACUGGGCAAAGCUGCGGCCACAGUUGCCACAUAUGAAGGGCCGGGCCUCCGGGGCUGGGGGGUGGCACCUCCGCGCGUGAGCUCGAAGCUGCUUUUGUCGCCAGAAGCGUCUCUCACAUUCAGGACAGGCGAUGGGCCGCUUUGCGGCCGAGUGGGCUCGCAGAUGCAGAACCAGGGCCACCCAACCUCGGAAGCUCUGCCUGCAGAGGUGGCAGGCGAAGCCCAGAUCUGGGGUGGCGGCGGCAUGGACCUGGCAGUGCAGCGCCAAGAAGGGGGCGUGCCGGAAGCGCCGGCCGCAUUCAGGACAGGGCAGGGGCAGGCGGGCCUGGCAGUGUCGGGCAUGAAGCCACAGGGCCACCCAGCCGGGGAAGUGCCUUCGACAGUGGGCACAGCGAUGGGCCCUGCCCGGGGCUUGGCUGCCCGACUGGGCCACGGAAGUGCCUUGUAACCUCAGCCCGCGGGGCUCCUUCUCCAGGGUCGGGGGCAACUUCUGGGAGGGCCCAGAGAGCCUGGGCUGGGCUGGGCCCAUGGCCAGGGGGCCCCUGCAGCGACGUUCCAGCAUGGGUUCUUCCUCUGCUGAGGGUGGAAAAGCAGUGUCACUCUGGGGAUCAACUCAUCCUGCCCCCGUUCCUCCCUGGCCGACCCCAGGCCCGAGAGGAGCUCAAAUCUCUGAACUGCUAGAGCCCUUGAAUCAGGACUACCCUUCUAUUGCCUUCUGUGUUCUGCGUCAGUUCAGUCAGGGGCUUCUAGAUGCCAUUCCAAGUGUAUUUGUCCUAAGUGUUCAUUGAGCCUGGAAACUACCAGAAGGGAGGAACUCUGACACUUCUUGGAAUCCCCCUCGUGGCAGUCACCCCGGGUCUGGCAUGGAGUAAACACUCCAGCGCUGGCUGCACAAACAUUCCUGCCUUAGGACUCACCAGAAAACGCCGUCCCCUCUCCCUCUAGUGCUUUCCACUUUUCAAGUGCUUCCCUGCUGCUCUCGGCUUGUUUCUACUAUUUCCUCUUGCUACCUUUGAGUAGCAACCUUGUGAGGCUGGAUGAACAGACAUUAUUAAGCUCCCUGCUUGACAGAUGAAGCAACUCUGAGGCAUAAGAGGAAGGAGGGAACUUGCCCGAGAGGACACAGUAAACCAAAAGCAGAACCAAGACUAGGGGACAGGCCUUCUAAACUCCCAGUUAGCGUUCUUUCCUCCAAAACACCGGGGUAUGUACAGCUCCCACAGAAACUCCUACGGCCCUUAUCCUAUUUACCCUCUCCCGGGCUCUAAGCGCGCCACAGGGGAGGCAUUUCUGGCCUCCCUAACCUCAGUGUCUCAGGGCGGAAGCCUGGAGAGCAAGAGAGAACAGCGCUUCUGGGGAACAGGAGGGCAGCGCUUGGAUGGUACUCCCAGGACUGCAGAACGCCAGGCCACUGUCUGUCCAGGCGGUGCCCACACUCUGCCUGCCUGCCCCCCUCCACCCACACGCGAUUAGGACAUCGCGAGAAGGAAAGCGCCCAUGAAUCCAAGAAACACCCACAGCCUGUUAGCCUCGGGCCCGGAUCCCUGCCUCCCCCGGGGUGGUAGCGAUUACUGGGGCAAGAGAAGGGGAGGAAAGACAAGACUGCAAUCUGGGUCCCCUGCGAGGUCAUGCCCCAACCCCACCGGGGGCUGCCCCACAUUCAGCUAUUCCGCGGUGCCAGGGAGCCCAGAUUCCUCAAGAAGAGCUUCCUAUAGCCACUGAGGGGUGGAUGGUAGUUAGCCUCUUAAUGGACCUUCACUGCAGGCUUGCAACCUCCGGACACAUCCUCCCUAAAUCCCCUAGAGCAGAACUCCUCUGGAGGAGCUCAGACGUGACUCAUUCCCCACGGCCAGACUGAGCACAGGGAAGACGCUGGUACGAGAAUGUGAUCCUUCCCCCCUACAGGUGACUUCCUUCCUCCAGGAGGAGAUCUGAGCACUGGGGCUGUGGAAUGGUGUGGGAACCCAACAAAGAAGGCCAGACUCUACCCUGCAGACCGUAGAGCUGGAGAUGAGGCUUUUUCCAGCUCCUCCGGGGGAUGUUCCUGGGGAUACUUCUGCGGCUGUAGCGCCUGCUUCGGCCCACACUCUGGUAGCCCCCAGAUGUCAGAGAAAACUGCAGCAGUAAAGACACCCCUACCCCCAUGGCAGAGCUCAGACCUCUGAGCGCAGAGAGGCCAGCCUUACCUGCGGGGAGGGGAGAGAAAACACGCGUGAGGCUCUGAGCUCCUCUAGGGCAGUCAUCUUUGUGUCCUCGCCAGCCACAACCCCCUCCCCCACCCAGGCUCGACACCCCGCCCGGCAGGGGAACCUUAAUGGCUACUGGAUUAAUAAAUGAAUGUGUCCCCUUCACCAAGGAAGUACACGCCAGCGUUCGGGGGUCAUUUCCUCCACUGGUAAGGUCACAGCACGAAUUCUCCAUGCUGAUGGCCAAAGGCCGGCCGAUGGCAGAAACUCGGGAAUCCCUGCUGGCUCCCCUUCCCCCACCCUCCUCCCAACAGGAAUUCCAGGCCCGUUUCCCAAGGGGCUGCGUAGGGCGAGCUAGUGUGGCCAGGUCUCGGUCACAAUCCCCUUGCGCCUUCUGGACGGCAAAGGGUCGUGGAGACCCCACACCCCCCUUUUGUUUUCGCGCGUGUCCCCCGUCCACGUCGCGGACAUACGGCUCCGCGCACCCCGAAUGGGCCCUUUCGGGUCCCCACGCAGAGCGCACCUCGCGGAGCCUGUGCGCAGGUGCGCGGGCUCGGCCCCCCCCUUCGGUCCAGCACUGUCCGCCCCCCCCCCCUCCAACACACACACAGCGCACACACAGUCACGCGCCCGGCAGGUAGGGCCGCCCGCCUCGGGCCCGCGUGGAACCCCGCGCCCUGCCCGGGACGAACCUCUCCGGCGGGGUGCGCGGAGGCGCGUCGCGCGUCCAUGAGGCCGGAACGCCGGCGCCGGCGGCCGCGGCCGGAGGGCGGGGCGGGCGGCGGGGCCAGUCCCCUCCGCACCCCUCCUCCCAGCGCCCCCUCGCGGGCUGGGCCGGGUCGGGGGCGGCUGCCGGGAGCCCGACUCGGUAGCCAUGGCGACCGCAGCCCGGAUUUUCCGGGACGGGCCCGGAUCAAGUUUCCCGACCCUUUGUCCCUACGGAGGACACGCGUCCCUGCGCGACCGCGUGGCCGGGCCGCGGUCCCUGGGCUAGACCCGGCCUCGUUGGCUUCUUCCGAGAGGGCGCUCGCGGCCUCCCGGCCACCCCUGCCCCGCUGCGGCCGNGCCGCCGUCGGCCACCGCGACCUCUGGCCUCGCUGCAGGCGAAAUACCCCUGGCUGGGGGCGGCGCGGCUGACCCGAAAGUCUGGCUUCUGGUUUGUUCACGAGUGGAGAAAGGAAAGGCCCGAUCGCGUGAACUUUACAAAGGGAAUGCCCUCAAUUCCAGAAAUUACCACGAGCAGGCGUUCGCUGCUUCCCGGGGCCGGGGGCAUGGGGCCUGGCUCAGGGACAGCUUCUCGCACCGGGCAUUUCGCUUGGAAGCGCGCGGCAGCCGGUUGGCGAGUGCGGAGGCAGGUGCGAGCCUGCGCCCGUGACUCACCGCCGAGCAGGUGGCCGAGGCUUUCCAAACCAUACACUUCCUGGGGUUUCCAGGCUAUUACAGUGUCAUGCACUUUUGUGCUUUUCAACAAAGUCAACGUUAAGUAUACAAUCAUUUUUAAAACACUUAAAUCUGUUGCAACAGUAGGAAAUAGAAUAUAAAAAUCUCUCCUACUCUUAGAUCCGUUACAUUUCGUGUUUUGGUAUGUCUCCUCCGAUGUUUUUUCUAUGCUUACCUAUGCAUGUUUGAUGUGAUUAGGAUAAUGCGAUGCAAAAAUGUAUUCUGCCCAUUUCUCCCAUUUUAUUGGAUAUUCUUUUAUGACAUGAUCCUUAAUGGCAGAAUAAAUGUACAGAUACAUUUUCUUGUUUUUCUAUAUCAUUGAUCAUUAUAGAUUCAUCCUUUAUCGUACAUGCCUGAUUUUAAAAUUCUAGGAGUGGGCAACUGAUGGGUCAAAGGCACAGUAUAUUUUUUAAAUGUUUUCUAAAUUACCUUCCAGAAAAUUUUAUUAGCUUUCCCUUGAGAAAUGCCCAUUUUUCCAUCUUAUUGACAACACGGGCUAUUUUUUGUCAAAUUUAAAGUCAUUGUCGGGGUGCCUGGGUGGCUCAGUCAGUUAAGUGUCUGACUUUGGCUCGGGUCAUGAUCUCACUGUUGGUGAGUUCAAGCCCCAUGUUGGGCUCUGUGCUGACAGCUCAGAGCCUGGAGCCUCCUUCCGAUUCUGUGUCUCCCUCUCUCUCUCUGCCCCUCCCCUGAUCAUGCUGUGUCUGUGUCUCUCUCCCAAAAAUAAAUAAUAAAACAUUAAAAAAUAAGUAAAUAAAGUCAUUGUUUCUCAUUGUUUUGAAUUUCAUAUGUCACUUCCUGGAUUACUAGUGAGCUGACUUGUUUUUUCACAUAGUUAUGUGUUGCCUUGCCUUUUUGUAUUUCUUUUCUUUUCUUUUUUUUUUUUUUUUUUGGCGAAUUUGCUUAUGUCCCUUUGCUCACUUUUCUAUUUGUAUGUAUGUUUUUUUUUUUUUAAGUAGGCUCCACGCCCAGCACAGAGUCCAGUGUGGGGCCCAAACUCAUGACCUUGAGAUCAAGACCCCAGCCAACAACAGUUGGUCCCUUGACCGACUGAGCCCCCCAGGCGCCCCUCUAUUCGUCCAUUUUUAAAAGCUGGGAAAUUGGUUUUAUUUCACACUGGGGGCUCAUUUCUUAUAAAGUAAAAGACUUUCAUGGUUUCUGCCUUGGGUGUCAUAUAUAGAGCAGCCACUGCACCCCAAAUUAAAUUUUAUGUGUAUAUUUUUAUCACAGAAAAUAAGUUUUAAUAUCUAAUAAUGUAAGUACUCCCCCGACGCACAGAUUUCUUUUUUUCCCCCCAAAAAAACUUUCUUGGCUACAGACAGUCGUUUAUUCUUCCAAAUAAACUUUAGAAUUUUCCCGUAUUUAAAAUUUUUUGUCAAUAUUUUAAAAUCCAUUUGAAGAGAUUUGAGAUUCAGGUCCCUGCAUUUGUUUAGGUCUUAUUUUACUUCUCACAGUCAAGGUUUCUAUUUGUAGAUUAAAUGUAGGGGCGCCUGGGUGGCUCAGUCAGUUAAGUGUCCAACUUCAGCUCAGGGUAUGAUCUCAUAGUUUGUGGGUUCAAGCCCUGUGUCGGGCUCUGUGCUGACAGCUCAGAGCCUGGAGCCUGCUUCGGAUUCUGCGUCUCCCUCUCUCUUUAUCCCUCCCCUGCUCACACUCUGUCUCUCUCAAAAAUAAACAAACGUGUAGACCAAAUGCUGGGCCAGCCCAGAGUAAUUGUGAGAUAUCCAUCAGUUCAUGGCUAAAUGUGAUACAUCCAAACACUGCAAUCCCACAAGCACCCUCAAUGGGACAUUCCUUCACAGACCCUCCAAAGCAUCUUCCUCUGUUGGUAAUCAGAGUCUCUUAGUCAAAAGGCUCUUCACUGAAGUCCAUUAACUACUCCCUCACUCCCUGGGCCCCGAUGGAAGGAGUGUCUUCCCGCCCAGUCAGGAGUUAAGCACCUGCUGUAACUUCCUCUUCUGGCAUAGCCAAAGGAAAUGAUGGGUCCCUUGCUCUGCAGAGACGAAAUGAACACAGGAGUUGCGAGGGAUUCCCUGACUUUCUACCAGCCAGGAAUUCUAGGCCUUGGUAUUUGAGACUUCACCCCUCAGUAUGCCUUAGAGGAGGAUGUAGCGGGGGAGGAGGAUGUAGGGGGGAGGUACAGCAGCCAGCCAAGUGGCCUGCCCCGGUGGAGUAGCUCUGACGUGCUCACCAGAGAAUGAUGGGGCUGGACAGGGUAUAGGACCCACCGGACAGCAAAAAUUGCCAGGGGCUCAGGGAGGAUCCCCCUUCCCCUCCAACGAUGGCUGGCUCCCACUACUGGAUU